GACGAACGCUGGCGGCGUGCCUAAUACAUGCAAGUAGAGCGCUGAAGAGAGGAGCUUGCUCUUCUUGGAUGAGUUGCGAACGGGUGAGUAACGCGUAGGUAACCUGCCUUGUAGCGGGGGAUAACUAUUGGAAACGAUAGCUAAUACCGCAUAACAAUAGGUGACACAUGUCAUUUAUUUGAAAGGGGCAAUUGCUCCACUACAAGAUGGACCUGCGUUGUAUUAGCUAGUAGGUGAGGUAACGGCUCACCUAGGCGACGAUACAUAGCCGACCUGAGAGGGUGAUCGGCCACACUGGGACUGAGACACGGCCCAGACUCCUACGGGAGGCAGCAGUAGGGAAUCUUCGGCAAUGGGGGCAACCCUGACCGAGCAACGCCGCGUGAGUGAAGAAGGUUUUCGGAUCGUAAAGCUCUGUUGUAAGUCAAGAACGAGUGUGAGAGUGGAAAGUUCACACUGUGACGGUAGCUUACCAGAAAGGGACGGCUAACUACGUGCCAGCAGCCGCGGUAAUACGUAGGUCCCGAGCGUUGUCCGGAUUUAUUGGGCGUAAAGCGAGCGCAGGCGGUUUGAUAAGUCUGAAGUUAAAGGCUGUGGCUCAACCAUAGUUCGCUUUGGAAACUGUCAAACUUGAGUGCAGAAGGGGAGAGUGGAAUUCCAUGUGUAGCGGUGAAAUGCGUAGAUAUAUGGAGGAACACCGGUGGCGAAAGCGGCUCUCUGGUCUGUAACUGACGCUGAGGCUCGAAAGCGUGGGGAGCGAACAGG
This 765-nucleotide ribosomal RNA is filed under the name uncultured Streptococcus sp. Its description in RNAcentral is "bacterial SSU rRNA". It matches the Rfam family "Bacterial small subunit ribosomal RNA", at positions 28 to 776 of the family's 1533-position model. The record is from RNAcentral. Lineage: Bacteria; Bacillati; Bacillota; Bacilli; Lactobacillales; Streptococcaceae.